CAACAUUCAUUCACAGUCUGGAUCUCUCUUUCACACACCGAAGUAUAUGAUUUGUCUUUCUUCCCUUUUUCUCCUUAAUUUUAUUAAUCUUUAUUGUGGUCGUGCUCAUGCAUAUUCUUUUGGGUCGUGCAUAUUUAUUAUUCAUGACUGGUUCAGAGGACAAGCGACUCAAGCGCUUACUUAGAGCAUCAUUAACGCAGAUGCUUAAUGGGGUGCUUACUGAUUUUUUGUUUUAAAAGAAAAAAAAAAUAAGUAAUUAGACAAGCAGCGCAGCUUAAUUAAGCAUCAGAGGAAAGGGUGCUUAUAAGACACGUGUCACUUUUCCCCUGCUUCUCUCCACAUCUCUCUCGACGGCGACACCAACCCGAACCCUCUCAUCUUUCGUCUUCAGAUCAGCCAUGGAGGACGAGCUCUGUUUUUGGCCGGAGAUUGUAAAUGAGAAAAAAACUUCGUGCUGUUAGCAAAUCUCAAAAGGGUUUCUUGCUCCAAUAUGAUGAUGAUGGGGUCUAGUUUCUUUAUGGUCAUGAUCUUUGCAGCUCUCAUCAUGCCAUUGUAAUUGUGAAGAAACGAUGAAGUGUUUGUUUUCCAGUUUAAAGUUUGUUGCUUUUAACAAUGACUAGUGAUUUUUGGUUCAUCAGUGAAUUUUGUGUAGGAUGGUAUUUUUGGUUUUGAUAUGAUUGUAUAAUGCUGAUGAUGAUGAUGAUGGGUUUUGUUCAAGUUACUUGUUUUCUGUCGGAUAAAGAGUUUUGAGUUUGUUGUUGGCUCUUUCUUUUGCAGCAAAGUACACUGUUCGUUCUUUCUUUCGGUACCAGACGUAACGAGAAGAUUGCUUGCUACGUUACUGUCAAGGGAGACAAGGCAAUGCAGCACCUUGAGAGUGUCUCGCUCUUUCUAAAACAGAUGGAUAGAAGGAAGGACUCAUUCUCAACAAGUCUCGGAACAUUAUUCGUUAAAGGAAAGAUGUUUCAAAGAGAGACCUAUAAACUGUGCUUUAUUUCUGUUCCAGUAGUGUUUUAUCUGUUUUGUUUUGUUUUCUUCAUAAUGUUUAUUUUUUCAUCAUAAUUUUUAUCUUCUCAUCAAAAUGUUUCAUAAUUUUUUUCAAAGAACUCCUAAUUAAGCAACUUCCAUUGGAGCACAAAA
Raphanus sativus (radish) is the source of this 1140-nucleotide long non-coding RNA. RefSeq lists it as uncharacterized. Lineage: Eukaryota; Viridiplantae; Streptophyta; Magnoliopsida; Brassicales; Brassicaceae. The record is from RefSeq and is a predicted model, not a curated record. The transcript is spliced from 3 exons.